UUGUAGUUUCCUCCAUUCACUGUAGGUCUUGUCGCAAUACAAGUGGCCUGACAAACUAAAGGUUGAUUUUGUGUAUGGUGAGAUCAGACAAGCAAUAUAACUCCUCUUAUCGCAAUACAAGUGGCGUGACUCUAGAUUUUGUGUAUGCUGCAGCUGGGAAAAAGCUGUGUCAGUAUCCUGGUUUUUGCUCUGGUAAUGACCCAGCGGUAAUGUACCCUUAGCUCUUGUGUUUUUCUUUGUCUAUUUGUCUGCCAGCCACUGACUUGCUAGUA
Molecule: non-coding RNA, 272 nt
Organism: Musa acuminata subsp. malaccensis (wild Malaysian banana)
Lineage: Eukaryota; Viridiplantae; Streptophyta; Magnoliopsida; Zingiberales; Musaceae
Source: RefSeq, a predicted model, not a curated record